UACGUAGGGUGCGAGCGUUGUCCGGAAUUACUGGGCGUAAAGAGCUCGUAGGUGGUUUGUCGCGUUGUUCGUGAAAACCGGGGGCUUAACCCUCGGCGUGCGGGCGAUACGGGCAGACUUGAGUACUGCAGGGGAGACUGGAAUUCCUGGUGUAGCGGUGGAAUGCGCAGAUAUCGGGAGGAACACCGGUGGCGAAGGCGGGUCUCUGGGCAGUAACUGACGCUGAGGAGCGAAAGCGUGGGGAGCGAACAGG
RNAcentral lists this ribosomal RNA (253 nucleotides) under uncultured bacterium. RNAcentral's name for it is "partial 16S ribosomal RNA". It matches the Rfam family "Bacterial small subunit ribosomal RNA", at positions 524 to 776 of the family's 1533-position model. The record is from RNAcentral.